UGAGGUUUAAGUUAACGAAACUCUCUGCCUUCAAAGCAGACAAUAGGUAACAUAUCACCGCCUAACCUCAAA
RNAcentral lists this transfer RNA (72 nucleotides) under Amphiura sp. CZ-2022. RNAcentral's name for it is "tRNA-Trp". Lineage: Eukaryota; Metazoa; Echinodermata; Ophiuroidea; Amphilepidida; Amphiuridae. The record is from RNAcentral.